This is a long non-coding RNA of Phyllostomus hastatus (greater spear-nosed bat), 2168 nucleotides long. RefSeq lists it as uncharacterized. NCBI's taxonomy places the organism in Eukaryota, Metazoa, Chordata, Mammalia, Chiroptera, Phyllostomidae. The record is from RefSeq and is a predicted model, not a curated record. The transcript is spliced from 3 exons.
UCUGGCGGCGGCCUCCCUGGGGGAUUUGCCGCGCAGGGCGGGCGACGCGCACUGCCCCGGCCGGCCAGCCGGCCGCCGCCGCUGCCGCUCUUCCUCCCUCCAGCUCGCUUGCCCGGGUCGCCUACCCUCUCCGCCCUUCCCGCCUCCGGGAGCUCAGCACACAGCUCAGGGGCAGCCCAGGCGUUUUGAUGUCGCCCCUUCCUCCUCCCCUUCCCCCUCCUUAGGCUUGGAGGCUGCUGAAGGCCUGGCACACAUUUCUCAGACACUUCAUUCCUUCCUUCCUCCCAGUUCCCCACUGAGAUAAUGUUGUAAAUGAUUUCACCAGAUCUCCCCCCGGACGAGAUUCAGUGGUUCCUGAUUCUGGGUGACCUUGUGCAAGCCGCCCUCUUUCUUUCGUUAUGAAACGCCACACUAUGCCAGACUAUGUUAUACUCUGGGAUUACCACGUUGAGAGAUACAGUGGCAGCCUACAAGGAGUUUCCAGUCAAUUCUGACGGCAAACAGACCCUGAUUUUCUGAUUGAUGACUACGUAUUCCUCUCCUAUUCCCUUCUCUUAGGGCUUAGAUGAUGAUGUACAGAGAGAUCAGAAAUCUAAAGAAAACACUGAAGCAUACCUGUAUGGGCAACAAUUGGCCUACUUGGUGAAUACAGUGAUCAGUAAGAUAGUUAUUGCCCUCAGGAAGCCCACAGACUAGAGAUGCUAUACUCGUAAGUGCAGCUAACAUCUAUCUCUCAGUAUGUUCCUCUGGUAUCUUCUAGGUUCAAUAGAGACAUGUGUCUGGAUAGAAUUAAAAUGCUGGGAAGGUUUAGGAUAAUUAAAUUACUCAUAAGUUGGGAUACCCUGGAAAACUUCCCGGAGGAAGUUGUCCGUGCUUUGUAUCUUACAAAAAUAGGGCUUGAGGCAUUGGAAAUGUCAAGGAGCUGGGGAGCAUGAGAGUACCUAUGGCCUUAACGGUAUAGACUGUGGAACUUGAGGUUCUCAUUCAGGGACAUGAUUUGGAGACCAGGGUGUGUGGCUAGCAGGAGUAUAAGAAGGGACUGAAGGAGGAGGCUUGAAGCCAUGUCACAAGAUUCUUAGACAUUUUGCUAAAGGACUUUGGACUUAACUUUAGACAAUGGAGAGCUAUGAAAUGCUCUUGAGCAGAGAAGGGAUACUAGAGUUGUGUAGAAGGAUGGCUCUGGCAAAAAUGUGGAGAGUGAGUUGCAGGGUUUGGAGUCAGCCUACUUAUGAGGUUCAAGCCUGUAAAGGAGGUUCCUAAGUGCCAGGUGUAGGCUAAUACCCGGAAGCACCUGCCCAGAACCAGCUCACGUGGGCAUUGACUGCACACUGUCCAAUGAUCCAAGUUCAGCAGAAACCUGCUUAUUCUUUCAUGCAAUGUAUCUCCACAACUUGGAGUCCAAAGAAUUAUUGUGACUUUGACCAUAUGUACCUUCCAAGUCUCAUUUACACCUUCCAGGACAGCCCUGAAGUCUGCAGCCAAAUCUUAGCUCAUUGCAGGCUUGAUUUACUCACUCUUGCCCCUUGGGUUCCUCUCUGGGAGUGUGUGUGUGUGUGUGUGUGUGUGUGUGUGUGUGUUAACACACUGCGUGGGCCGUACUCUAUCAUGUUCUGAAGAGACAAUGAACAACGCCUCCUUUGUUGACCUGCAGCCUGGGCCAAUGGGAUUCCCUGCAGCCUGCCAGAGACAUGGUCUCUACCCUGCCAAGAGCUAUCCUGGGAGAGCUAUUGAAAGAGUCCUUGAAUAAGAGUCCAUAUAUGUUCGUCACAGCAGAAUUCAUAACUGAGACUUCCUACCUGAAGGUCCAUGGAUGAACUCCUGGAGAGCCUAUAGAGCUCAUGGAAUGGAAUUCAAAAUGUGUCUCUUUGAAUACUUUUUGAAAGAAUGAACAAAUGAGUAAUUUUUUUUUCCUGAAGAGAAGGUCCAUAGCUUUCAACAAGAGUUUCAAAGCAUUUUGUGACCCCAAAAGAUUGAGGGGACUGAGGCAGGCGGUCUCUACUGACAAGGGGGUUCUGAGCUUCAGAGAGGGCAAAGGUCUGGCACAAAGGUCUACAGCACCUUAAACCAGAAGCCAGCUGGGGCUCUUUCCAUCACACCACAGCACUGUGGUCCCAGGUAAGAUUAGACUAGGGUUUAUAGAGCUGUCACCACCAUAACCUGGAUGAAAA